Molecule: ribosomal RNA, 492 nt
Filed under: uncultured bacterium
Lineage: Bacteria
Description: partial 16S ribosomal RNA
Rfam family: Bacterial small subunit ribosomal RNA
Source: RNAcentral
AUUUCCCUCUUUCUUUAGGCCUAACACAUGCAAGUCGAACGGCAGCACAGUAAGAGCUUGCUCUUACGGGUGGCGAGUGGCGGACGGGUGAGGAAUACAUCGGAAUCUACUUUUUCGUGGGGGAUAACGUAGGGAAACUUACGCUAAUACCGCAUACGACCUACGGGUGAAAGCAGGGGAUCUUCGGACCUUGCGCGAUUGAAUGAGCCGAUGUCGGAUUAGCUAGUUGGCGGGGUAAAGGCCCACCAAGGCGAGGAUCCGUAGCUGGUCUGAGAGGAUGAUCAGCCACACUGGAACUGAGACACGGUCCAGACUCCUACGGGAGGCAGCAGUGGGGAAUAUUGGACAAUGGGCGCAAGCCUGGUCCAGCCAUACCGCGUGGGUUAAGAAGGCCUUCGGGUUGGAAAGCCCUUUUGUUGGGAAAGAAAAGCAGCAGGUUAAUACGCCGCUGUUCUGACGGUACCCAAAGAAUAAGCACCGGCUAACUUCGUG